AACCAGCACCUCAAGUGGUCAGGAUGAUUAUUGGGCCUAAAGCAUCCGUAGCCGGCUAUGUAAGUUUUCGGUUAAAUCUGUGCGCUUAACGUACAGGCUGCCGGGAAUACUGCAUAGCUAGGAAGUGGGAGAGGUAGACGGUACUCGGUAGGAAGGGGUAAAAUCCUUUGAUCUAUUGAUGACCACCUGUGGCGAAGGCGGUCUACCAGAACACGUUCGACGGUGAGGGAUGAAAGCUGGGGGAGCAAACCGGAUUAGAUACCCGGGUAGUCCCAGCUGUAAACUAUGCAAACUCAAUGAUGCAUUGGCUUGUGGCCAAUGCAGUGUUGCAGGGAAGCCGUUAAGUUUGCCGCCUGGGAAGUACGUACGCAAGUAUGAAACUUAAAGGAAUUGGCGGGGGAGCACCACAAGGGGUGAAGCCUGCGGUUCAAUUGGAGUCAACGCCAGAAAUCUUACCCGGAGAGACAGCAGAAUGAAGGUCAAGCUGAAGACUUUACCAGACAAGCUGAGGGGUGGUGCAUGGCCGUCGCCAGCUCGUGCCGUGAGAUGUCCUGUUAAGUCAGGUAACGAGCGAGAUCCCUGCCUCUAGUUGCCACCAUUACUCUCAGGAGUAGUGGGGCGAAUUAGCGGGACCGCCGCAGUUAAUGUGGAGGAAGGAAGGGGCCACGGCAGGUCAGUAUGCCCCGAAACUCUGGGGCCACACGCGGGCUGCAAUGGUAGUGACAAUGGGUUCCGAAUCCGAAAGGAGGAGGUAAUCCUCAAACACUACCACAGUUGUGACUGAGGGCUGCAACUCGCUCUCACGAACAUGGAAUCCCUAGUAACUGCGUGUCACUAUCGCGCGGUGAAUACGUCCCUGCUCCU
This 864-nucleotide ribosomal RNA is filed under the name uncultured archaeon. Its description in RNAcentral is "SSU rRNA". It matches the Rfam family "Archaeal small subunit ribosomal RNA", at positions 474 to 1337 of the family's 1478-position model. The record is from RNAcentral.